AACGAACGCUGGCGGCAUGCCUAACACAUGCAAGUCGAACGAGACCUUCGGGUCUAGUGGCGCACGGGUGCGUAACGCGUGGGAACCUGCCCUUAGGUUCGGAAUAACUCCCCGAAAGGGGUGCUAAUACCGGAUAAUGUCUUCGGACCAAAGAUUUAUCGCCUUUGGAUGGGCCCGCGUUGGAUUAGCUAGUUGGUAGGGUAAAAGCCUACCAAGGCGACGAUCCAUAGCUGGUCUGAGAGGAUGAUCAGCCACACUGGGACUGAGACACGGCCCAGACUCCUACGGGAGGCAGCAGUGGGGAAUAUAGGACAAUGGGCGAAAGCAUGAUCCAGCAAUGCCGCGUGAGUGAUGAAGGCCUUAGGGUUGUAAAGCUCUUUUACCCGGGAUGAUAAUGACAGUACCGGGAGAAUAAGCUCCGGCUAACUCCGUG
RNAcentral lists this ribosomal RNA (433 nucleotides) under uncultured bacterium. Its description in RNAcentral is "partial 16S ribosomal RNA". It matches the Rfam family "Bacterial small subunit ribosomal RNA", at positions 29 to 507 of the family's 1533-position model. The record is from RNAcentral.